UUUACGUUCGCCUAAGCGGCGCGUGUGCUCGUAAAAGCCGAUCGUCAAGUGGGUGACGGCGGUUGGAGGUGGAGGUGGGUCCGUCCGUUUGGCCCAUUGAAGCAGUGAAGUCAAUGCCCGGCUGAGAUUGGCCUUGUGGAAUGGUCAAGGUUGCCUAUUGGCAAUACUUCCGCAUUCCGUAUACAUUACUAAACUACAGGCAGAUUUCAUUAAAGAAGUGGAUACAUUACAAGAACUUCAAUCUUCUUCAGUCCUCUGAACUCUUAUUCGUCAACUGCAAUUUGCCUUGAGAUAGGAACUAUAUGAAGAAGAAGAGAGCACACACUCAUUCACUCACUCACGCACACACACAAGUGCAGGCCACGCGCAGCAGAAAGGCAAACAGCGGAAAAUCGAAAAAUCAGGCGGCAAGACCGCAACAACUGCAGAGAAGCAUGGAUGCAGAGAGGCGGAGUGCCGGGAAGUGCUGUCUAGCUAUUAUAAGCCGUUCUAUAGUUGGGCGACGGAGUGUGAGCGAGCGAAGUGGUGUGGGGGAGGGGUGCAGCCAGCAUGUGCAGGCGAUAAAUGCAACGUGUAAUGUGGGGAGGCAGUGCACGGGUUUUCGACAUCCGAUGUCCAUUGCAAAUGGAAGAGGACGUGCAAUGGUUUGCGAUGCACGUGUUGGCGGUCAAUGAACCGAAUGGGCGAGAUAGAGAGAGCGAGCGAGAAAAGCAGAAAUGCAGGGGCAGAUAUGUAAGUAGUGUAAGUGCAGGGAGAGCAAAGAUACGAAGAGAGUAAGGGCGAGAGCGCACUGCCGUUUAAUGCAGUUAUUAUUGACGCAGUCUGUCUACGUGCAGAAUGUCAAUGCCGCUUACCCUUCACACACCCCUCCCACAUUUCAAGCCACCUGUUAUCGAUACAAGUUAUCGAUCAUUGAGUACAGUGGAGCUACAUUGUAUGCUGCACUGAAUAUGGUUAACAAACUGCAUGCCUAAUGGAACCGACAAUUCCCCAGCGAUAAUUUAGCCAAGAAACGAAUGGCGCCUGCGGUUUAAGGCCAAUUGCAUUAUGAAUGUACAUAUGCAUGGAUUAGUCGGAAAAACAAAUGAAAACAACUGCGAAAUGUGUUUUGUAAUCUUUUCUUUUUCGCGUGCAGCCUGUUUUCGCAAUUUGUCAAGUUACGUUCCUCCUUAUGUAAAUACCAACUGCAAAAAAAAAAAAAAAAACAGUUUGAGCUUCAGUAAACCAUGUUUUUCAGAC
Drosophila melanogaster (fruit fly) is the source of this 1239-nucleotide non-coding RNA. Lineage: Eukaryota; Metazoa; Arthropoda; Insecta; Diptera; Drosophilidae. The record is from Ensembl.